GAGGAAUAAGCAUCGGCUAACUCCGUGCCAGCAGCCGCGGUAAUACGGGGGAUGCAAGCGUUAUCCGGAAUCAUUGGGCGUAAAGCGCCUGUAGGUUGUUUAUUAAGUCUGUUGUUAAAGACCAGGGCUUAACCCUGGGAAAGCAAUGGAAACUAGUAGACUAGAGUAUGGCAGGGGUAGAGGGAAUUUCUAGUGUAGCGGUGAAAUGCGUAGAUAUUAGAAAGAACACCGGUGGCGAAAGCGCUCUACUGGACCAUUACUGACACUCAGAGGCGAAAGCUAGGGUAGCAAAAGGGAUUAGAUACCCCUGUAGUCCUAGCCGUAAACGAUGGAUACUAGAUGUUGUGCAUAAUGUACAGUAUCGUAGCUAACGCGUUAAGUAUCCCGCCUGGGGAGUACGCUCGCAAGGGUGAAACUCAAAGGAAUUGACGGGGGCCCGUACAAGCGGUGGAGCAUGUGGUUUAAUUCGAUGCAACGCGAAGAACCUUACCAGGGCUUGACAUACUACGAAUCCCUUUGAAAAAAGGGAGUGCCUUCGGGAAUGUAGAUACAGGUGGUGCAUGGCUGUCGUCAGCUCGUGUCGUGAGAUGUUGGGUUAAGUCCCGCAACGAGCGCAACCCUUAUUUUUAGUUACCAAUUCGUUGGGUUCUCUAGAAAGACUGCCGGUGACAAACCGGAGGAAGGUGAGGAUGACGUCAAGUCAGCAUGCCCCUUAUGUCCUGGGCUACACACGUGCUACAAUGGUGGAGACAAAGAGUUGCGAGCUCGCGAGGGUAAGCUAAUCUCAUAAACUUCGCCUAAGUUCAGAUUGCAGGCUGCAACUCGCCUACGUGAAG
RNAcentral lists this ribosomal RNA (836 nucleotides) under Haptophyta environmental samples. RNAcentral describes it as "bacterial SSU rRNA". It matches the Rfam family "Bacterial small subunit ribosomal RNA", at positions 481 to 1325 of the family's 1533-position model. The record is from RNAcentral. Lineage: Eukaryota; Haptophyta.